Molecule: non-coding RNA, 740 nt
Organism: Schizosaccharomyces pombe (fission yeast)
Lineage: Eukaryota; Fungi; Ascomycota; Schizosaccharomycetes; Schizosaccharomycetales; Schizosaccharomycetaceae
Source: the annotation of a GenBank genome assembly
GUAACUGCAGCUCUAGGAGCGCCUGGCAAAGGAAAAACACCAGACAUUUUCGCCUGGUCAGCAGUAACCAAUUCAUAACCAGGUGGUUUAAUGUCCCAUAAAGAGCGCUUCCUUUUCCACUGAUUUAUUGGUGUUACAUCUCUCAAUUGUUCGAGUUCCUGUUCGAUAGACCUUACGCUUCUUUCUCGGCUGGGAGGUGGACUUCUACUUCUUCCGACAGAUGAAUAACGUAAUGAUCGAGGCUCAUAAUCAUCAUAUCUUCUUUCUCUUCUUGGCCUCUCAUCCUCUCGAUAACUUCUUUCACGAGAUUCUCUAUGUCUACGAAAAUCACUUUCGUCUCGGCGACGUCUUCUAGGUCGUUCAGAGCCAUAAUGGCCUCUCGGGUCUUCCCUUCCUAUCCCACCCGAACCUCUUUCUCGUCUAGGUUCUUCAUCGCGAUAAUCUCUGUGUCGCUUGGGUAUCCGUGAAGAACCUGAUGAUAAUCUGGAAGACAAAUCCAUGUUAGUGAAUGAAUAUGAGGCUAUUUAAAAAAUUAUUCAAAAAAGAAGGGAGGGAAGAAAUUCGUUUAUUAAAAUGAACUCUUAAAUUCUCCGGAAAAAACUUUGAUGAAAGUAGGGAAUACAAAAGUACAAAUUCUAAUGAAAUGAUAUGCGCGUCAAUGCUCUUGGAUUCCUUGCUAAAAAAAAUUUAUAACAUGAACAAUAAUAAUUAACUUAUUUUUUCUUUAUGUGAUACGCCCA